GUAGGGAAUCUUCCACAAUGGACGAAAGUCUGAUGGAGCAACGCCGCGUGAGUGAAGAAGGAUUUCGGUUCGUAAAACUCUGUUGCAAGGGAAGAACAAGUAGCGUAGUAACUGGCGCUACCUUGACGGUACCUUGUUAGAAAGCCACGGCUAACUACGUGCCAGCAGCCGCGGUAAUACGUAGGUGGCAAGCGUUGUCCGGAAUUAUUGGGCGUAAAGCGCGCGCAGGUGGUUCCUUAAGUCUGAUGUGAAAGCCCCCGGCUCAACCGGGGAGGGUCAUUGGAAACUGGGGAACUUGAGUGCAGAAGAGGAUAGUGGAAUUCCAAGUGUAGCGGUGAAAUGCGUAGAGAUUUGGAGGAACACCAGUGGCGAAGGCGACUGUCUGGUCUGUAACUGACACUGAGGCGCGAAAGCGUGGGGAGCAAACAGGAUUAGAAACCCUAGUAGUCC
Molecule: ribosomal RNA, 450 nt
Filed under: uncultured bacterium
Lineage: Bacteria
Description: bacterial SSU rRNA
Rfam family: Bacterial small subunit ribosomal RNA
Source: RNAcentral